AGAGUUUGAUCCUGGCUCAGAACGAACGCUGGUAGCGUGGAUUAGGCAUGCAAGUCGAACGGGAUCACCUGGAUAGCAAUAUUCGGGUGUGAGAGUGGCGGAUUGGGGAGGAACACGUGAACAACCUGCCCGUGAGUUGGGGAAAACCAUUGGAAACGAUGGCUAAUAUCCGAUGUGGCGCCCGAGGACAUCCUCGGAACGCUAAAGGGGGCCGCAAGGCUCCCGCUCGUGGAGGGGUUCGCGCACCAUCAGCUUGUUGGCGGGGUAACGGCCCACCAAGGCCUACGGUUAGCUGGUCUGAGAGGAUGACCAGCCCCACUGGGACUGAGAUACUGCCCAGACUCCUACGGGAGGCUGCAGUCGAGGAUCAUUUGCAAUGGGCGAAAGCCUGACAAUGCGACGCUGCGUGGAGGAUGAAGGCCUUCGGGUUGUAAACUCCUGUCAUAGGGGAACAGGCGAUCCGACCCAAUACGUCGGUGAGUUGAGUGUACCCUAAGAGGAAUUGGCGGCUAACUCUGUGCCAGCAGCCGCGGUAAUACAGAGGCCAAGAGCGUUGUUCGGAUUUACUGGGCGUAAAGGGCGCGUAGGCGGUCUUGCGUGUCAAGUGUGAAAUCUCCGGGCUCAACCCGGAAAGUGCGCUUGAAACUACAGGACUCGAGUCUGGGAGAGGGAAUCGGAAUAUAGGGUGUAGCGGUGAAAUGCGUUGAUAUCCUAUAGAACACCGGAGGCGAAGGCGGAUUCCUUGAACGGUACUGACGCUGAGGCGCGAAAGUCGGGGGAGCAAACAGGAUUAGAUACCCUGGUAGUCCCGACCUUAAACGGUGCACACUCGGGGGUGGGGCCAUUUCCCCGGCCC
RNAcentral lists this ribosomal RNA (856 nucleotides) under uncultured bacterium. Its description in RNAcentral is "bacterial SSU rRNA". It matches the Rfam family "Bacterial small subunit ribosomal RNA", at positions 8 to 840 of the family's 1533-position model. The record is from RNAcentral.